This 2927-nucleotide long non-coding RNA is filed under the name Mytilus galloprovincialis (Mediterranean mussel). Lineage: Eukaryota; Metazoa; Mollusca; Bivalvia; Mytilida; Mytilidae. The record is from RNAcentral.
GUUUUUAUGAUUGAUGAUCUAUAACUAGUCUAUUGAAUCAUGAAAUUCAUUUUAAAUGCUUACAGUAACUGCAAGUCUAGUCUGUUAAUUAUUUAAUUGGUGCAUAUAUACAGCUGUUCUUGUGGCAUAAUAGGUCUUUUUGUGGUAUAAUAGCCUUUUUAGUGGCUUCAUAGUGAUCUUACUGCAGUGAUGUAUUUAUUUUGUUUACUUUAUUUAGGAUAAGGAUAGGGAGAUGAAGAGGAAAUAUUAAUACUUGGUCUAUUCUCAACACUGGAUAUAAAGCAAACAAAAUUCUAUUCAAUUGAUUUAUAUAUAGCAUUUUUUUUUUGAUUUUCCAAAAAAUUCAUAUCAACAUUUUAACUUUUACAAAUGUUUAAUAUUCAGAUCUUCUUUUGAAGUGAGAUGGACAUACAUGUAGUUGUUUACCUUCUUUUAUUGGAUCUUUAUUGUAAUUUUUUGUCAGUUUUAUUUUUUUUUUAGCCUUAAGUGGUAAGUUCUUAAUUAAAAAGGAGAUAGAUAUUUUGAUAUGUAAGAUUUUUUUUAAAUUUCUGAAUAAAAUAUUUGGAGGUUCCCUCCCACAGCUGGAGGGUUAUACAGGCGGUAUGAAAUAUGACAUUUUUAUUAUUUUAACAAAUGUUCUUGAAUGCUGCUUUAAUAUGUUCGAAAAGUGUGUUCUAUUAUAAGAUUUUGAUUGCUAUAUUAAUAUUUAUGAAACCAUGCUUUAUGCACUGUUUGUUAUGUAAUGAUUAUUUAUUUAAUUAAUUUAUUUAUUAUACACAAUGUACACGAUGUGCAAUAUAAAGGUUUGAAUUGUGCUUUUUAGGUUGUUAUUUUACAUGUGCAAUAUUGUUUUUACUGAGCCAUCUUCACUUUAUAUUUACACCUUAUACAAACUGUUUAUUUAUUUAAUUGUAAUAGCAGGGAGAUAAGUCUAUGUUUUUUUUUCCAUUCUCAAUUUUAUUUGUUAUAGCAGGGAGGCAACUCUGUGUCUUGUUCAAACAGCGAGAUAACUCUAUGUCUUGUUCUUAGAGGGAGAUUACUCUAUAUCUUGUUCUGGAAGUACACCACUAAUUAAUGGCCCCAUUGCUUUCUAUGUUAAAUUCCUCAAUUUCGAGUGGUCACAGCUCUUUUAUCUUAAGUUCAAAUAAAGUGACAAUCAUUGCAUGUCAAAGCAACACCUUCUUGUGUCCUGUACUGAAAAAAUCAACAUACCUUACAUGGCAUAUAAGAAAGAACUGGUUCCCGGAACUUCGGAUGUACCAAAACAGGUACUUCAGAUCUGACAAAAAGACAAAAUGUACCCUCUUUUUAAAAUGUCAUGUUGCAUUUUUUUAUUAUUCAAAUUUAUCAGUCAAAAAUUGUUCUGCAAUGAUCACCAGUCAUGCAGCUUUCAUUUGAUACCAAAAUUAAUAAAAGAUUCUAAAUAUUUUGAAAGUUAUGUCCAUGCGUAGGAACUAUUUUGUGUUAAAUAUGUACUACUUUCUGGUAUGUGCUUUCUGGCCGGCCUGAAUUAGUGGUGUUACACCUUCUAACUAUAUAAAGUAUGCCUUACAUUGAAUCAUUAAAAAUUUUAAAUCAAGAGUUUGAAAAAGUAUCUGAACAUGGAAUAAUGUUUAAUAAGUUAUUAAACUGUAUUAUAAGUAGAUAUAGAAGGCAUAUUUAUCAAUAUUUUCAAUUUUAGAAAGGUUAAAAAAAACCAAGAAGUGGUCUUUUCUGGUUAUAAAUACAAAAUAUGGUAAUUAUGUAAAGUCACCCAUCAAUUUAAAAACUAACAUAAAAUUGCCUAUAGAUUGAUACAUAUGAUUUUUUUAGUCUCUGUAACUGGAGAAUUUAUAGUGAUAAUGAUAUGGCUGCAUAAUAAAUUUUCUGAGUUAUCUUUUCAACCAUAAACAAUAUAUCUAAUCUGUCCUUUUUUAUUUUUAGAAUUUACAAAAUUCUACUGUUGUUAUGUCUGAAUCAAAGUCUAUUUAUAUAUGUUAUAUGUUGAUAUAUUCAUGGUUAUGUAUAUGUUUUGGAGUAACAUCUUGCUCUCUACUUAAUCAAAGCUUCCUAAUGCUUUAGAUGUAUUUACUUUAUCCCACCAUUGUGUCUCAUCAAAGUAUUGUCAUUGCUUUAAGAAGACUGUGAUGUAUGCUACCUGCCUCAGAAUUCUGUCUGUAUCUUGGAAAUUACGAGAGUUUAAGGUAAAAUAAUCUAAAUUAAUUAAAAACUGUAAAAGGGGCACAGGGCAGCACUCGAGAAAGGGUGGGUGCCGCGCCCUCUAAAAACGGCCUAGCUGGAACAAUUUUUUAAAUAAUUAAGGGGGUGUUCCAUAAUUUUGGGAAAUGAUGGAUGGUUGAGGCUAAAGGAACCCUGAUAUUAAAUUAUCAGUAAUUCUUUAAGAUUACUUGGGGAAUACUGAUCAACCUAUCAAUAAGUAUUAUAUUGCAUGGUGCCCCCGGAAGAACAUUUUUAGAGGAAAGUUAAAAACAUGUAUUGAAAUGGUAGGGUCCAAUAAUGUUUCAGUAAUGGUUGAAACUGACCUUAUAUCAUGAUAUUUAACUUGAGUAAAUUCAAUCAAUUAAGUAAAAAAAAAAUAGUUCGUUUAGGAAUGAAACUUGUUCAUUCAUAAUGAAAUAUUGGUACAUUAUAAUAAUAAAAAUGUAGGUGAAAAGUUAAGAAAUGCAAAAUCAGCAAGCUUUCCAAUCUUUUUAAGUUUUAUUUAUUGUCUAUACAUUGCAAACAUUCAUUCAUGUCACUGUGACCUAAUUGUAUUAAUUUAACACCUUACUUUAAUUGCUCAGAAUUUUCAAAGUACAAGACAGAAUGGGAGAAUAAAACAUCAAAACUGUAUUUAUUAUUAUUUGUUAUUUAUUUUUGUGAUCAUCUGUGAUUUUUGUUUUGUUUUCUGUGUGAAAUUUUUCUUUUAGAAAAUAAAAUUAGAUCUG